This 253-nucleotide ribosomal RNA is filed under the name uncultured bacterium. Its description in RNAcentral is "partial 16S ribosomal RNA". It matches the Rfam family "Bacterial small subunit ribosomal RNA", at positions 524 to 776 of the family's 1533-position model. The record is from RNAcentral.
GACGAGCCGUGCGAACGUUAUUCGGAAUCACUGGGCUUAAAGCGUGUGUAGGCGGACCUGUAAGUACCUUGUGAAAUCCCACGGCUCAACCGUGGAACUGCUGGGUAUACUGCGGGUCUUGAGCCACCUAGGGGCGAGCGGAACAAGUGGUGGAGCGGUGAAAUGCGUAGAUAUCACUUGGAACGCCAAUGGUGAAAACAGCUCGCUGGGGGUGUGCUGACGCUGAGACACGAAAGCCAGGGGAGCAAACGGG